GUCGCACGGGGUCGUCUUCGGACGGCUUACGUGGCGGACGGGUGAGGAACACGUGGGGAAGCUGCCGUCUGCAGGGGGGUAGCCGUCGGAAACGGCGGGUAAUUCCGCAUGGCCUCAUGAUCUGAGUCGGGAAGAUGAGGAAAGGGCUUUCGGGCCCGGCAGACGAGGCGCCUGCGUCCGAUUAGCUAGUUGGGGGGGUAACGGCCUCCCAAGGCGAUGAUCGGUAGCUGGUCUGAGAGGACGAUCAGCCACACGGGGACUGAGACACGGCCCCGACUCCUACGGGAGGCAGCAGCAAGGAAUUUUCCGCAAUGGGCGCAAGCCUGACGGAGCAACGCCGCGUGCGGGAUGACGCCUUUCGGGGUGUAAACCGCUGUUCGUGGGGACGAAGCACUGACGGUACCCACGGAGGAAGGCCCGGCUAACUACGUGCCAGCAGCCGCGGUAAUACGUAGGGGCCGAGCGUUGUCCGGAGUUACUGGGCGUAAAGCGUGCGCAGGCGGCGUAUCGCGCCCGGCGUGAAAGCCCCCGGCUCAACCGGGGAGGGUCGUCGGGGACGGGUACGCUUGAGGACAGCAGGGGCUGGUGGAAUUCCCGGUGUAGUGGUGAAAUGCGUAGAGAUCGGGAGGAACACCUGUGGCGAAGGCGGCCAGCUGGGCUGUUACUGACGCUGAGGCACGAAGGCGUGGGGAGCGAACGGGAUUAGAUACCCCGGUAGUCCACGCAGUAAACGAUGCAGACUAGGCGUGGGGGGAUUUGACCCCUUCCGUGCCGGAGCUAACGCGGGAAGUCUGCCGCCUGGGGAGUACGGCCGCAAGGCUAAAACUCAAAGGAAUUGACGGGGGCCCGCACAAGCGGCGGAGCGUGUUGUUUAAUUCGUCGCAACGCGAAGAACCUUACCAGGGCUUGACAUGGACCUGCACGCCCCGGGAAACGGGGGAAGCCUUCGAGGGUGGUCCACAGGUGCUGCAUGGCUGUCGUCAGCUCGUGUCGUGGAGAUGUUGGGUUAAGUCCGCACGAGCGCACCCUUGGGGUCAGUUACGAUUUUCCUGGACGGACUGCGGGGCAAACGGAAGAGGUGGGA
RNAcentral lists this ribosomal RNA (1084 nucleotides) under uncultured Chloroflexota bacterium. Its description in RNAcentral is "bacterial SSU rRNA". It matches the Rfam family "Bacterial small subunit ribosomal RNA", at positions 61 to 1179 of the family's 1533-position model. The record is from RNAcentral. Lineage: Bacteria; Bacillati; Chloroflexota.